RNAcentral lists this ribosomal RNA (477 nucleotides) under Escherichia coli. Its description in RNAcentral is "bacterial SSU rRNA". It matches the Rfam family "Bacterial small subunit ribosomal RNA", at positions 117 to 590 of the family's 1533-position model. Lineage: Bacteria; Pseudomonadati; Pseudomonadota; Gammaproteobacteria; Enterobacterales; Enterobacteriaceae. The record is from RNAcentral.
CUGGGAAACUGCCUGAUGGAGGGGGAUAACUCCUGGAAACGGUAGCUAAUACCGCAUAACGUCGCAAGACCAAAGAGGGGGACCUUCGGGCCUCUUGCCAUCGGAUGUGCCCAGAUGGGAUUAGCUUGUUGGUGGGGUAACGGCUCACCAAGGCGACGAUCCCUAGCUGGUCUGAGAGGAUGACCAGCCACACUGGAACUGAGACACGGUCCAGACUCCUACGGGAGGCAGCAGUGGGGAAUWUUGCACAAUGGGCGCAAGCCUGAUGCAGCCAUGCCGCGUGUAUGAAGAAGGCCUUCGGGUUGUAAAGUACUUUCAGCGGGGAGGAAGGGAGUAAAGUUAAUACCUUUGCUCAUUGACGUUACCCGCAGAAGAAGCACCGGCUAACUCCGUGCCAGCACCGCGGUAAUACGGAGGGUGCAAGCGUUAAUCGGAAUUACUGGGGCGUAAAGCGCACGCAGGCGGUUUGUUAAGUCA